GACGAACGCUGGCGGCGUGCUUAACACAUGCAAGUCGAACGAUGAAGCCUAGCUUGCUAGGUGGAUUAGUGGCGAACGGGUGAGUAAUACGUGAGUAACCUACCUUUAACUCUGGGAUAAGCCUGGGAAACUGGGUCUAAUACCGGAUACGACCAAUCUCCGCAUGGGGUGUUGGUGGAAAGCGUUAUGUAGUGGUUAUAGAUGGGCUCACGGCCUAUCAGCUUGUUGGUGAGGUAACGGCUCACCAAGGCGACGACGGGUAGCCGGCCUGAGAGGGUGACCGGCCACACUGGGACUGAGACACGGCCCAGACUCCUACGGGAGGCAGCAGUGGGGAAUAUUGCACAAUGGGCGCAAGCCUGAUGCAGCGACGCCGCGUGAGGGAUGACGGCCUUCGGGUUGUAAACCUCUGUUAGCAGGGAAGAAGAGAGAUUGACGGUACCUGCAGAGAAAGCGCCGGCUAACUACGUGCCAGCAGCCGCGGUAGUACGUAGGGCGCGAGCGUUGUCCGGAAUUAUUGGGCGUAAAGAGCUUGUAGGGCGGUUUGUCGCGUCUGCUGUGAAAGGCCGGAGCUUAACUCCGUGUAUUGCAGUGGGUACGGGCAGACUAGAGUGCAGUAGGGGAGACUGGAACUCCUGGUGUAGCGGUGGAAUGCGCAGAUAUCAGGAAGAACACCGAUGGCGAAGGCAGGUCUCUGGGCUGUAACUGACGCUGAGAGGCGAAAGCAUGGGGAGCGAACAGGAUUAGAUACCCUAGUAGUCCAUGCCGUAAACGUUGGGCACUAGGUGUGGGGGACAUUCCACGUUUUCCGCGCCGUAGCUAACGCAUUAAGUGCCCCGCCUGGGGAGUACGGCCGCAAGGCUAAAACUCAAAGAAAUUGACGGGGGCCCGCACAAGCGGCGGAGCAUGCGGAUUAAUUCGAUGCAACGCGAAGAACCUUACCAAGGCUUGACAUAUACUGGACCGCAUCAGAGAUGGUGUUUCCCUUCGGGGCUGGUAUACAGGUGGUGCAUGGUUGUCGUCAGCUCGUGUCGUGAGAUGUUGGGUUAAGUCCCGCAACGAGCGCAACCCUCGUUCUAUGUUGCCAGCACGUAAUGGUGGGGACUCAUAGGAGACUGCCGGGGUCAACUCGGAGGAAGGUGGGGAUGACGUCAAAUCAUCAUGCCCCUUAUGUCUUGGGCUUCACGCAUGCUACAAUGGCCGGUACAGAGGGUUGCGAUACUGUGAGGUGGAGCUAAUCCCUAAAAGCCGGUCUCAGUUCGGAUUGGGGUCUGCAACUCGACCCCAUGAAGUCGGAGUCGCUAGUAAUCGCAGAUCAGCAACGCUGCGGUGAAUAAGGUCCCGGGCCU
This 1349-nucleotide ribosomal RNA is filed under the name uncultured bacterium. Its description in RNAcentral is "bacterial SSU rRNA". It matches the Rfam family "Bacterial small subunit ribosomal RNA", at positions 28 to 1381 of the family's 1533-position model. The record is from RNAcentral.